This 253-nucleotide ribosomal RNA is filed under the name uncultured bacterium. RNAcentral describes it as "partial 16S ribosomal RNA". It matches the Rfam family "Bacterial small subunit ribosomal RNA", at positions 524 to 776 of the family's 1533-position model. The record is from RNAcentral.
CACGUAGGGUGCAAGCGUUGUCCGGAAUUAUUGGGCGUAAAGGGCUCGUAGGCGGUCCGUCACGUCGGGAGUGAAAACUCGGGGCUUAACCCCGAGCCUGCUUUCGAUACGGGCGGACUAGAGGUAGGUAGGGGAGAACGGAAUUCCUGGUGUAGCGGUGGAAUGCGCAGAUAUCAGGAGGAACACCGGUGGCGAAGGCGGGUCUCUGGGCCGAUACUGACGCUGAGGAGCGAAAGCGUGGGGAGCGAACAGG